Molecule: ribosomal RNA, 274 nt
Filed under: uncultured bacterium
Lineage: Bacteria
Description: partial 16S ribosomal RNA
Rfam family: Bacterial small subunit ribosomal RNA
Source: RNAcentral
AUACGGAGGGUGCAAGCGUUAUCCGGAUUCAUUGGGUUUAAAGGGUUCGCAGGCGGCGUAUUUAGUCAGUGGUGAAAUCCCGAGGCUCAACCUCGGAACUGCCAUUGAUACUGGUAUGCUAGAGUAUAGUUGGCGUUGGCGGAAUGUAUCAUGUAGCGGUGAAAUGCUUAGAUAUGAUACAGAACACCGAUCGCGAAGGCAGCUAACGAAACUAUAACUGACGCUCAGGAACGAAAGCGUGGGGAGCGAACAGGAUUAGAAACCCCGGUAGUCC